AAGAUAAGAAACACUUUAUGAUGAGGACUUACUAAGACAUUUCUCACCAACGAAAUGGUGGCUUUGUAUUCUUAUCUUCAUGCAAUUUAACAUGAAACUUUCAUCUGCAUUUUUUCUCGGAAACUUUCUUUCAAUCUUCUUUCUGCGUCUAUGUCCUUCGAUUCACUUUCAGUUUUAGUUGUUGUGCCUCUGUGACCUUUUUCCCUUUUGGUGAGCACAGUUGUUCUCUGGUUGAUGCACUUAUUUUCCCCUCUUUAUUUCUCUGCUCUGCUUGAUUACUAUACUCACGUUCUGUCAUCAUGUUCCACUCUUAUUCCCCUCUUGUUUGCAUUUGAACUUAUUUCGGGGUAUUUGGUCUUCUUUUGCGCUUCACCAAACAAUACCUCUUUGAAAAUUUCAAUUGCGAGACAUGCUCUGUAAUUUCAAAAUUUUGCUACGGAUUUGGGUCAAUUUGUAAUAGAUAAUUGGAGAUAGAAACUACAUUGAAGCAGAUGCAUUCUCAGAACAAAAACAGUUCUUCCUAUUUGGCAGAACGAAACGCAUAAAUGAAUUUCAGAUAGCAUGAGACGUAUAAGCAAAUGGAAUCCACUAAAAAACAUGCUCUACUACCAAAACACCGACUACGAGCAAAAAAUCCACUGCAUCUGCAUUGUCAUCUGAAAUAGGUGUAUGUAAACAAACAUUGUUAUGGGUUUUACGGAGUUUCCCAACGUCUCCCUCUAACUCUGGAAAUUUUGAGUCUUCCGAUCGACUUAGCUCCGCAUCUUUAUAGUCAUGCUGCUGACUUGGCUUGCUUUCCUCUAGCUGUUGUAAUCUUUUACCCAUACUAUCCAUCUGUAAAGAUAGAGUAGUAAGGAUUGCAAAUAAAUCUUUUGUUUCUUGUC
Nicotiana tabacum (common tobacco) is the source of this 884-nucleotide long non-coding RNA. RefSeq lists it as uncharacterized. Lineage: Eukaryota; Viridiplantae; Streptophyta; Magnoliopsida; Solanales; Solanaceae. The record is from RefSeq and is a predicted model, not a curated record.